RNAcentral lists this RNase P RNA (360 nucleotides) under Alphaproteobacteria bacterium. RNAcentral describes it as "RNase P RNA component class A". It matches the Rfam family "Bacterial RNase P class A". Rfam says of the family: Ribonuclease P (RNase P) is a ubiquitous endoribonuclease, found in archaea, bacteria and eukarya as well as chloroplasts and mitochondria. Lineage: Bacteria; Pseudomonadati; Pseudomonadota; Alphaproteobacteria. The record is from RNAcentral.
UCGGAAAGCCGGAUGGCCGCGCGUCUUCCUUGCGAAGGCGGGAGGAAAGUCCGGGCUUCACGGAAACACGGCGCCGGCUAACGGCCGGGCAGGGCGACCUGACGGAAAGUGCUGCAGAGAUUUAAACCGCCGAUGGCCUUUAAGGCACAGGCAAGGCUGAGAAGGUGCGGUAAGAGCGCACCGCGUCGCUGGCAACAGGGACGGCAAUGGUAAACCCCGCCGGAAGCAAGACCAAAUAGGCGUCCCGCAUGGUGUUUUUCCGCACCGGGGCGCGGGUAGGUUGCUAGAGGUCUGCGGUAACGCAGAUCCCAGAUGAAUGGCUGUCCCCGACAGAACCCGGCUUACAGGCCUUCUGGCUUU